UGAGGAAUAUUGGUCAAUGGGCGAGAGCCUGAACCAGCCAAGUAGCGUGCAGGAUGACGGCCCUAUGGGUUGUAAACUGCUUUUAUAUGGGAAUAAAGUGAGGGACGUGUCCCCUAUUGCAUGUACCAUACGAAUAAGGACCGGCUAAUUCCGUGCCAGCAGCCGCGGUAAUACGGAAGGUCCAGGCGUUAUCCGGAUUUAUUGGGUUUAAAGGGAGCGUAGGCUGUUUGUUAAGCGUGUUGUGAAAUGUAGGAGCUCAACUUUUAGAUUGCAGCGCGAACUGGCAGACUUGAGUGCGCACAACGUAGGCGGAAUUCAUGGUGUAGCGGUGAAAUGCUUAGAUAUCAUGACGAACUCCGAUUGCGAAGGCAGCUUACGGGAGCGCAACUGACGCUAAAGCUCGAAGGUGCGGGUAUCGAACAGG
Molecule: ribosomal RNA, 424 nt
Filed under: Verrucomicrobiota bacterium
Lineage: Bacteria; Pseudomonadati; Verrucomicrobiota
Description: Verrucomicrobia bacterium partial 16S ribosomal RNA
Rfam family: Bacterial small subunit ribosomal RNA
Source: RNAcentral